GACGAACCGUGCAAACGUUGUUCGGAAUCACUGGGCUUAAAGGGCGCGUAGGCGGCCAAUCAAGUCGGGGGUGAAAUCCUGCAGCUCAACUGUAGAAGUGCCUUCGAUACUGAUCGGCUCGAGGGAGGUAGGGGUGUGUGGAACUUCUGGUGGAGCGGUGAAAUGCGUUGAUAUCAGAAGGAACGCCGGUGGCGAAAGCGACGCACUGGACCUCAUCUGACGCUGAGGCACGAAGGCCAGGGGAGCAAACGGG
RNAcentral lists this ribosomal RNA (253 nucleotides) under uncultured bacterium. Its description in RNAcentral is "partial 16S ribosomal RNA". It matches the Rfam family "Bacterial small subunit ribosomal RNA", at positions 524 to 776 of the family's 1533-position model. The record is from RNAcentral.